GGAGAGAUGGCAGAGCGGUUGAAUGCACCGGUCUUGAAAACCGGCGUAGGUUAAUAGCCUACCCAGGGUUCGAAUCCCUGUCUCUCCG
RNAcentral lists this transfer RNA (88 nucleotides) under Halopseudomonas salegens. It matches the Rfam family "tRNA". Rfam says of the family: Transfer RNA (tRNA) molecules are approximately 80 nucleotides in length. Their secondary structure includes four short double-helical elements and three loops (D, anti-codon, and T loops). The record is from Rfam by way of RNAcentral. Lineage: Bacteria; Pseudomonadati; Pseudomonadota; Gammaproteobacteria; Pseudomonadales; Pseudomonadaceae.